UAGGGAAUCUUCCACAAUGGACGCAAGUCUGAUGGAGCAACGCCGCGUGAGUGAAGAAGGUUUUCGGACCGUAAAGCUCUGUUGUUGGUGAAGAAGGAUAGAGGUAGUAACUGGCCUUUAUUUGACGGUAAUCAACCAGAAAGUCACGGCUAACUACGUGCCAGCAGCCGCGGUAAUCGUAGGUGGCAAGCGUUGUCCGGAUUUAUUGGGCGUAAAGCGAGCGCAGGCGGAAGAAUAAGUCUGAUGUGAAAGCCCUCGGCUUAACCGAGGAAUUGCAUCGGAAACUGUUUUUCUUGAGUGCAGAAGAGGAGAGUAGAACUCCAUGUGUAGCGGUGGAAUGCGUAGAUAUAUGGAAGAAUACCAGUGGCGAAGGCGGCUCUCUGGUCUGCAACUGACGCUGAGGCUCGAAAGCAUGGGUAGCGAACAGGAUUAGAUACCCUUGGUAG
Molecule: ribosomal RNA, 446 nt
Filed under: uncultured bacterium
Lineage: Bacteria
Description: partial 16S ribosomal RNA
Rfam family: Bacterial small subunit ribosomal RNA
Source: RNAcentral